Molecule: ribosomal RNA, 219 nt
Filed under: uncultured bacterium
Lineage: Bacteria
Description: partial 16S ribosomal RNA
Rfam family: Bacterial small subunit ribosomal RNA
Source: RNAcentral
UAGGUCUCAGUUCAGACUGCAGGCUGCAACUCGCCUGCACGAAGUCGGAAUUGCUAGUAAUCGUAGGUCAGCAUACUACGGUGAAUACGUUCCCGGGCCUUGUACACACCGCCCGUCAAACCAUGAGAGUUGGCAACACCCGAAGUCGGUAGUCUAACCGCAAGGAGGACGCCGCCGAAGGUGGGGUUGAUGAUUAGGGUUAAGUCGUAACAAGGUAAC